Molecule: long non-coding RNA, 1228 nt
Filed under: Equus caballus (horse)
Lineage: Eukaryota; Metazoa; Chordata; Mammalia; Perissodactyla; Equidae
Description: lncRNA (ENSECAG00000052372.1)
Source: RNAcentral
CCCCCGAAGUGGAGCCGGGCUUAAUCACAGGGAGCGUGGUUUCUCCCACCGCCCAGCCCCGUGAUGGAGACAUUCUCAUUCCACUUAGAGACGAGGAGCUGGAAGCCGAGAGAAGCUAAGACCUUGCCGAAGACCACACAGAGUGGACAGUCAUUAAACAGUGAUUGCAUUGUUGUGACUAUGUAAACGUCGUUCACUGCAGAGCCAACCAGUGUGCUGUGAGGACGCCACCCUCCUCCAGCAGGAUGCUCCACGGUAUGGCUGCUUGGAGGAAAAACCAGCCCCCAUGUUGUGAGCUACCCUAUGGAGAGGCCCAUUUGGUGAGGAACUGGUGUCUCCAGCCAACAGCCCGUGAGGCAUUGAGGUCUGCCAACAGCCACGGGAGCAAGCCUGGGAAUGGCUCCUCUCCUAGUUGAGCCUGGAGACACCUACAGUUCUGGCUGCAGCCUUGGGAGAGAUUCUGAGUCAGAGGCACCAAGAAGCACCCAGCUAAGCUGUGCCCAGAUUCCUGACCAGUAGAAAUUCCCAGGGAGAAGCCAGUCCCAGAUCAUGAGGACACUCAAGAAGCCCAGUGUGGUGAUGAACUGAGGCCUCCUGCCAACAGCCAGCACCAACUUACCAGAUACGUGAAUGAGCCAGGCUGGACGCAGAUCAGUCAGCCCCAGCCAAGUCUUCAAUUGACUGCAACCCCAGCUGCCACCUUGAUUGCACUCUCUUGAGCAACCUGGAGCCAGAACUACCCAAUCAAGCUUCUUCUGAAUUCCCGACCUACAGAAAUUGAAAGGUAAUGAAUAUUUAUUGUUGUCUCAAGCUGCUAUGUUUUGGGGGUAAACUGUUAGGCAGCAAUAGAUAACGAAUACAUUGUAGAAUAAGUGACUAAAUUAUUCCAUCCAAGUGAAGGAGCUGGGGCGCUUAUACAUCAAUACCCAUCUGUCAGUGGAUGAUGGCUGCUUCUAGGGGGUGUUGAUUCACCAGCACUUAUUUGUGGGCAGAGAGGGCUUCAGUGGCUAGAGAAAGCCUGCAGGCAGAGAGAUGAAGGUUCUGGCAGCUGGAAGUCAGGCCUGUGUGAACCCAAAGGUAAAGAUGAAGGUUAUAGGUAGGGUGUUCACAGGGACUGCUAGCUCUCAAACUCAAUUUAACUCUCAUCUACACUACUUCCCUCCCCCCAGGCAGCUUGGAGCAUCGACUCCUUCUUCAGAGCCUGAUUCCUCCAGGGUUUUGUCCCUAG